Molecule: non-coding RNA, 183 nt
Filed under: Propionivibrio sp.
Lineage: Bacteria; Pseudomonadati; Pseudomonadota; Betaproteobacteria; Rhodocyclales; Rhodocyclaceae
Description: 6S RNA
Rfam family: 6S / SsrS RNA
About the family: E. coli 6S RNA was the first non coding RNA to be sequenced, but its function was unknown until recently. It consists of 184 nucleotides that fold into an extended hairpin structure with a large single-stranded internal bulge.
Source: RNAcentral
UGUUCCCUGCGGUGUUUGUCAAGGCCAUAUAUUCCUUGAACCAAUGCUAAUUGGCGUCGGUUGCGAACCAUUGAAGCUGCUGUUGUGCAAGCCCCAUUUGUCGGGCGAGCCUGAUGCGGACGGAACGUGACCUCUCUGAACCCCGGUUCAGGAUGCCGGCCUAACGGCACUUGCGGGGACAUU